GAGGGUAUAGCUCAAUGGUAGAGUGCAAACUUAGUAUGCACAAAGUCCUGGGUUCAAUCCCCAGUACCUCCA
This 72-nucleotide transfer RNA is filed under the name Camelus bactrianus (Bactrian camel). It matches the Rfam family "tRNA". From Rfam's summary of the family: Transfer RNA (tRNA) molecules are approximately 80 nucleotides in length. Their secondary structure includes four short double-helical elements and three loops (D, anti-codon, and T loops). Further hydrogen bonds mediate the characteristic L-shaped molecular structure. tRNAs have two regions of fundamental functional importance: the anti-codon, which is responsible for specific mRNA codon recognition, and the 3' end, to which the tRNAs corresponding amino acid is attached (by aminoacyl-tRNA synthetases). tRNAs cope with the degeneracy of the genetic code in two manners: having more than one tRNA (with a specific anti-codon) for a particular amino acid; and 'wobble' base-pairing, i.e. permitting non-standard base-pairing at the 3rd anti-codon position. The record is from Rfam by way of RNAcentral. RNAcentral also lists the same sequence under 1 other name. Lineage: Eukaryota; Metazoa; Chordata; Mammalia; Artiodactyla; Camelidae.